RNAcentral lists this ribosomal RNA (427 nucleotides) under uncultured bacterium. RNAcentral describes it as "bacterial SSU rRNA". It matches the Rfam family "Bacterial small subunit ribosomal RNA", at positions 355 to 774 of the family's 1533-position model. The record is from RNAcentral.
UGGGGAAUUUUGGACAAUGGGCGAAAGCCUGAUCCAGCCAUGCCGCGUGAGUGAAGAAGGCCUUCGGGUUGUAAAGCUCUUUUAGUCGGAAAGAAAGAGUUGCAAUGAAUAAUUGUGAUUUAUGACGGUACCGACAGAAAAAGCACCGGCUAACUACGUGCCAGCAGCCGCGGUAAUACGUAGGGUGCGAGCGUUAAUCGGAAUUACUGGGCGUAAAGCGUGCGCAGGCGGUUUUGUAAGACAGAGGUGAAAUCCCCGGGCUCAACCUGGGAACUGCCUUUGUGACUGUAAGGCUGGAGUGCGGCAGAGGGGGAUGGAAUUCCGCGUGUAGCAGUGAAAUGCGUAGAUAUGCGGAGGAACACCGAUGGCGAAGGCAAUCCCCUGGGCCUGCACUGACGCUCAUGCACGAAAGCGUGGGGAGCAAACA